AGUCGAGCGCCCAGCAAUGGGAGCGGCAGACGGGUGAGUAACACGUGGGGAUCUACCCAAUGGUACGGAAUAACCCAGGGAAACUUGGAUUAAUACCGUAUGUGCCCUUCGGGGGAAAGAUUUAUCGCCAUUGGAUGAACCCGCGUCGGAUUAGCUAGUUGGUGAGGUAAAGGCUCACCAAGGCGACGAUCCGUAGCUGGUCUGAGAGGAUGAUCAGCCACACUGGGACUGAGACACGGCCCAGACUCCUACGGGAGGCAGCAGUGGGGAAUAUUGGACAAUGGGCGCAAGCCUGAUCCAGCCAUGCCGCGUGUGUGAUGAAGGCCUUAGGGUUGUAAAGCACUUUCGCCGGUGAAGAUAAUGACGGUAACCGGAGAAGAAGCCCCGGCUAACUUCGUGCCAGCAGCCGCGGUAAUACGAAGGGGGCUAGCGUUGCUCGGAAUCACUGGGCGUAAAGCGCACGUAGGCGGAUCGUUAAGUCAGGGGUGAAAUCCUGGAGCUCAACUCCAGAACUGCCCUUGAUACUGGCGAUCUCGAGUCCGAGAGAGGUUGGUGGAACUCCGAGUGUAGAGGUGAAAUUCGUAGAUAUUCGGAAGAACACCAGUGGCGAAGGCGGCCAACUGGCUCGAUACUGACGC
This 638-nucleotide ribosomal RNA is filed under the name uncultured Alphaproteobacteria bacterium. RNAcentral's name for it is "bacterial SSU rRNA". It matches the Rfam family "Bacterial small subunit ribosomal RNA", at positions 60 to 746 of the family's 1533-position model. The record is from RNAcentral. Lineage: Bacteria; Pseudomonadati; Pseudomonadota; Alphaproteobacteria.